Molecule: long non-coding RNA, 599 nt
Filed under: Lonchura striata (white-rumped munia)
Lineage: Eukaryota; Metazoa; Chordata; Aves; Passeriformes; Estrildidae
Description: domestica (Bengalese finch) lncRNA (ENSLSDG00000002847.1)
Source: RNAcentral
GUGGGAAUUGCACCCUGGUGGGUUGGGAUUGCCCGGUUCCCAGUGGGAAUUCCCGGAUUUCAGUGGGAUUCCCCAGUUUCCAGUGGGAAUUCCCGGAUUUCAGUGGGAUUCCCCAGUUUCCAGUGGGAAUUGCACCCGGUGGGUUGGGAUUGCCCAGUUCCCAGUGGGAAUUCCCGGAUUUCAGUGGGAUUCCCCAGUUCCCAGUGGGAUUCUCCAGUUUCCAGUGGGAUUCUCCAGUUUCCAGUGGGAAUUGCACCCCGGUGGGUUGGGAUUGCCCAGUUCCCAGUGGGAUUCUCCAGUUCGCAGUGGGAUUUCCCAGUUUCCAGUGGGAUUUCCCAGUUUCCAGUGGGAUUUCCCAGUUUCCAGUGGGAAUUCCCGGAUUUCAGUGGGAUUCCCCAGUUUCCAGUGGGAUUCUCCAGUUUCCAGUGGGAUUUCCCAGGUUUCCAGUGGGAAUUGCACCCCGGUGGGUUGGGAUUGCCCAGUUCCCAGCGGGAUUCUCCAGUUCCCAGUGGGAAUUGCACCCGGUGGGUUGGGAUUGCCCAGUUCCCAGUGGGAUUCUCCAGUUCCCAGUGGGAUUUCCCAGUUCCCAGUGGGAUUCU